RNAcentral lists this long non-coding RNA (2583 nucleotides) under Equus caballus (horse). RNAcentral's name for it is "lncRNA (ENSECAG00000044223.1)". The record is from RNAcentral. Lineage: Eukaryota; Metazoa; Chordata; Mammalia; Perissodactyla; Equidae.
ACACAACCAUUGGAGGAGCCAGGGAAGUGGCUGCUAGAAGAGAGAUUCACAGAGCUCAUCCUGAAACUGCGCUGGAUUUCAGCAAGCUCGGCAGGCACCCUCUGGGGCUGCCGGCAGCACCUAAGUGGGCAAUUCUCAAGAGGUCUUCCGUCUGCACCUCUGCCUGCCACUGCUGCCUGGAGAUAACAGCUUCACGUGCUGUCACGGACUGAAUUGUGUCCCCUCAACAUUCAAAUAUUGAAGCCCAGCCCUCCGUACCUCAGAAUGUGACUAUAUUUGGAGAUAAGGCCUUGAAGAGGUGAUUAAGAUGGAGUACAACAUCGAACAAGUGGGAGACCUGGCCUUUGCCUGCAGAGACAUGGAAGGGACCCCUGCUGCCAGACCCCAGGAGGAGCCAGACGGACCACGAGAUGGGUGCUUCUUUGUCCCGAGAGGUCACACAGGCACGUCCUGUGUCAAAUGUCCCCCUGCCCCUCUGUGGCCACCAGAGGUCGGUCACUGCACUUUAGUCUUUCGGUUAAAGGCACAACAUUCCGGCCAGUCUGCCCUGGGCUCUGCUCCCCUCGACCAUGGAGCAGAAAACAGAAGGUAGGAGAGGGAGAGGGAGGAAGGGAGAGAGAAAAGGGGAGGAGCCUAAGAAAGAAAGACGACACAAGAAAAAGCAAAAGGGGGGAGGAGUGUUCAAGUGUGAGUUUGCACCAAGUUGGAGAACAUGAAAUAGACUCGCCUUCCUGUGCUGCAGCCCCCACUUUUUUUAUAAUGCCCUGGUCGAUCCUUAAAACAGGGCCCAGAAAUCAUAGUUUCUGAGUCCGAGACUCAGAGAGCAGGAACGGGUCCAAGGCCCAGGAGGCAGGAGACCUGCUGGUCACCCCACAGCCCAUCUGAGCCCACACCCUAGCUUGAGGAAAGCCUGCUGAUCUUGUGCCCACCCAUCCCUUCCACCCGCCUGUGGCAGGCCACCUCAGGGGGGCCUGCCAAAUGACCAGAGCUCAGCCCACAGAGGGAGGGGUACAUGGAAACCCCGGAGAGUCUGGAGGCUGGAUGCAGGGAGGGAGGAGGUCCCCAUUGCCUGCUUCUUGCAGGAGACAAAGGGACACAAAACGUCAUCUCCUGUCCCCUGAUCCUGUUCCCCCCCAGCCUGAAGUUGCCUCCAAGCUCUGCUAUCUUUAAGGAAAGACAAGGCUGAAUGGAACAUCAGAAAAAUGUUGCAGGGGAGGAGGAACUGGAUUUUCUGAAAGCAAGUUCCUGUUCAAAGUUUCCAGCCACUUCUAUUUCUAGCAGCGGAGACAGUGAGUGUCCCUGAGAAAAACCGCCUGAGUGGUCCCUUUCAGGGAAGGAGAUGAAGGUCAAGUCAGCAACCGAUCCUCUGGGAGAGAGUGAGCCAGGACUGUUGGCCUCGGCAGACUGUCAUCGCCUCGCCCCCUACAUGGCCCGAUUGCUAAGGAGGGGUGGACAAAUUGCGUCAGGGCCAAGAAGCCUUGCGGAAGGACGGGAUCUGGACUCCUUCACAGAUUCAAAGCUAUUGCAGCGUCUCUGAAGCACUCGUGGUGCUGGCCGCCUGACUCCUUCAGGGGGAGGCUGGAUGCGAUCACAGACUGUGCAGAGACAUGCGAUCACAGACUGCAAUCGAGACAUGCGUGAAUUUCAUUACAGGGACUGUGACCCUGGGAGCCCAGACCCCAGAGGAGGUGACAGCCUCCACUUCAAGGGGCAAAGCAGAGCGCAAGGAGCAGCCCUGGGGAGUGAUGAGUCUCACGGAAGAAGGGAGAGGAGAGGAAUAGACUUGCCACGAUGAAAUGGGGCUCAGAAUUACAUCACAUAAAAUAUUAAAGGAGCUGCCCAUGUGGGACAUAUCAUAUGCUGUCAGUCAGAGGGCUUUACCAAUUGGAGCACGAUUUUUUCCUAAAACAGACAAAGCAGCAGGUCCAGGAGCUGGAGUGGCUGGCCAGGGUCACUGCCCAGUUGGUGCAGAGCUGGGUAUGCCCCGGGUCUCUUAACUCUUCGUGCCAGCUCUUCCCAACACCCUGUCUUCACUGCAGCCCUUCCACCUGCGCCUUCUCCUCGCCGGAAUCACACAGAGGAGGAGGUCUGAGAACAGGAAUCCGUGAAGUUCUUCCCCUGGGAGGGUAAACAAAUGGUUUUGUCAGAUUUAUAAUUCAGACCCAGUGUGUAAGGGAAAUCCUAAAGCGCCCCUUGCUGGAGAAACAGGGGAAUCUCUUCACAUAUGGGUUUCUGUCAAAAAGUUCAGCAACACCAAUAAUUUACACCUUGAUAUUUGCUGGAUUUCCUGGAGUUUGUGAUUGUCAUCACUUUCCAUGUUUGCUGGAAAAUUGAAAGUUCAGAUGCUACUUCCACCACUCAAAACUGAAAAUCUCUAGUUGGACUAUUCUGUCACAAUGUAGUUACGACCUACAAAUGCUUUUUAAUAUUUAGUAUGUGCCAAGCACUGUGCCAUCUCUAGGAAAGCAAGAUGACUAAAAACUGAAGAUACACAACACUUUGGUUUCAUUCAUGCCAACUAAACAAAUGCAUGUUUUAUCUCAGUUCUGGAAAGCAAUCUUUUAUAAAGAAAAUAAAAUGACC